RNAcentral lists this long non-coding RNA (42286 nucleotides) under Olea europaea (common olive). RNAcentral describes it as "long non-coding RNA (OEUR_LNC009878)". Lineage: Eukaryota; Viridiplantae; Streptophyta; Magnoliopsida; Lamiales; Oleaceae. The record is from RNAcentral.
ACUGCAAAUAGCCUUAUUCAGAGAAAGAUUCAUUGAACGUGGUCCCAUAAUAGUCUAAAGAUCUGCAAUUAUCCAUGAAGAUUAAUUGUCGAGAUUUGUGUUGAAGAUUUAUUGUUGAAGGUCUACAAUUAUACAUGAAGAUUCGUGUUGAAGAUUUAUUGUCGAAGUUCUACAAUUAUACAUGAAGAUUCGUGUUGAAGAUUUAUUGUCGAAGUUCUACAAUUAUACAUGAAGAUUCGUGUUGAAGAUUUAUUGUCGAAGUUCUACAAUUAUACAUGAAGAUUCGUGUUGAAGAUUUAUUGUCGAGAUUCGUGUAGUGUAGAUUAACAAUAGUUUGAAUUAUUUUUUAAUUUAUUUGUAUUGAAUUCGAUGAUAUUUCAAUUAUUUUAAUGUUCGGAUGAACAAAAAAACUUUGGCUAAUAAUUAUUUAAUUCAAAAGAUGUGAUACAACAAAUUAAUUACUUAUCCAAUCGUUAAGCUACACAUGUACAAAGUUAUUUUGUUAAACUUUUUACUCUGGAAAAUAUGUUUUUCUUUUUCUUCUUUUUUUCUAUAUGAAAUAUUUGAGUAGCAAGUUGGUUUCUAAUUAAAAAGAAGAAGAAGAAGAAGAAGAAGAAAAAAAAAGAAUAAGUAUAUCUUCAUUCUUUCAUAGUAGUUGCACAAUUCAUCUUUAAUAAUAAAAAGGUUCAUUUGAAGCCCAUAUUUGGUUUAGUCAGUAAGUUGAUAAAAGUAAGUCAAAAUUAACAUAAGAGGACUAUAAGAUAAUUUAAGAGAAAUUUAAACCAUUUUUAUGAUAUUGAUUGUAACUACAUAACAAAAGUAGAUUUGCUCUCUCUCUCUCUCUCUCUCUCUCUCUCUCUCUCGCUCUCUCUCUCUCUCUUUUAAGUAAAGGAAAAGAAAAUCUCUACGUCAAGAAAAUUUAGAAAUAUAAUCCUUAUUUAAAUUGGCAAGAUGUUUAAAUAAAAAUUUAACUUCAAUCUCACCAACAUUAUAGUCAAGGUAAGAAAUACGAUCGGCAUCAUUCAUUUUCAAAAUGUAUGAAUUUUAUUGCUCAACUUACAAUUUAGUUCAAUGAGUUAAUUUCAAUGUUGGCUUGAAGGGUCGGCACAUGGUGCAUUUUGUCCCCACUCGAGCAAAAGUGAUUUAGCCCCCGUUUGAUCCUCAUUUUUACCCAAAAAUGCAUUUUUCCCAUCACAUCAAUGUAGGACCUACACAAUAUUAUAUGUUUUGUUUUGAAUUCAAAAGGUAUAAAAUUCCAAUUUCACCCAUGGUCUCUCGGCUGAGUGGUUUUGGGAUGGAAAGUUAGUGGGCAAGGGCAAGGGCAAAUUUUGGAAAAGAAGAACUCUUGGUCUCUGAGUAAAUCACGUGGGUUGGCAAGCAAAUAAUGAGCAACGGUCCAAAAAUUCAUUAUUGUGCAAAAUUAAUGGGGACCAAACAACCCCUUAGCUGAAAUUAAAUUUCUCUAGAUCAAAACUACAGUUAUGUUUGGCUCCUAUUUUUUCAAAAAUUCAUUUUUUUUUCAAAACAUAUUUUUAACUACACAUUCUCUCAUAAAAUAAUAUUACAUGUAAAACGAAAAUAUGUUCUUAUUUUUUAACGUUAUAUUCUUCAAAAACAAUACUAUUUCAAAUUACAUUUUUCUCAAAAUUACAAGUUAUUGGACCCUAACAAGGGCUAGAGGGUAUGGUAGUGAUUAAAAUUAGAUUUUUUAAUAGAUUGUGAUAGAAACUUUGAAGUGUGUAGUUGAAAAAUUGUGAGACCCAUAAAAGAUGUAAUAAAUAUUGAUUGUGAGACUUUGAUUUAGAAUAAAUUCAGAUUUUAAUUCCAAAACAAACUCUUAAUUAAUUGCAAUUUAUCUAACUUGACCAAGAAAGUAGACUUACCCUAAUGCUCUUCCUUUAUAGAGAAGAAAUGUAAUCAAUAAUGAUCUAAACGGGUCCCACAAUUUGAUUGACUUUUUUGGAAAUUUAUCCCAAAUUCUCGUAAAAAUCAUAACCCUAAUUGUAUUAAGCCGAAUUAGAUAAAAAUAAAUUUUUUACUAGACUUAAAAAAAAAGUUAUUGAAGCGUGAAAAUAAAAAGUUUGUGGAUUUCGUGAAAUGUAUGUGUUACGUGCUGACACACUUGUUGACCCACUGAGGCCCAUGGCCGCCGAAGCCCUUAGGCCCACAAAGAAUCAGGAACUACUUGAAACACGGCCUAUGACGUGGCCCAGAGUGCCAGAAUGCCAAGGUGCUGUAGCCUAAGUGGUUCAUAUUUUCGAGGUUGUUCAUAUCGAGGCCCAUCAUGCUGAAGCCUUGGAGCAUCUCUCGUAUCACUUCUCCCCCAAAGAUCCAGCCUAACACAAGAAUCCUCUUUGAAUGAUUGAUGGGACACCCAUCAUAGGGCGCCUGUGUCUUGUCUUGCCAAAAUAGAGGCGACUUUGCCGAUUAAUAAAUGUACAGUUGGCUAGGAGGUCAAACUUGACACCUACAGUUUGACAUGUAAAUUAAUAAGAUUAGGCCCGCAUACUCCCCACUGAGAGCCACAAUCUAACUUGUAACGUUAUAAAUACUCCCACAUGUACCCCAUACAAAGGUUAAUGCAAGAUUCAAUACAAGAACAAAUAUAACAUUCUUUACAUUUCACUCUCUUGCAAUAUACACGAGUUCAUAUACAAAUCCUACAAAUAUCGAUUGAUAAUUAUUGUACAAUUGUUAUGUAAACAUCUCGUCGGAUUUCGAAUGUUCUCAUCCCGUGCCUUUGAGUCGCUCCCAUGCCCCUGUUCUACCAGUUCUAGACCAUCCACGUGUCUUAGUGUGUUGGACCAGGCUUACGUGCGCGAGGGUGGGUCCAGUAUCUGUUGGCAACAUAUUCUAGGGUCAACAGAUUGACGCCAUCUAUGGGAAACCAUAAUAUAACCACAAGCAAUCAUGUGGUGAAACCUGACUGAAAGAAGAACAUUCAAACAUCCCCUUUGAAAAAUGAUUUGUUCUUGAAAAAGAGCAAGAGAAAGCCCCAUAAGUUUGAAAAAUUUGAAAUUAAAACUUAGAAGAAAAAAUGAGCUCAGAUAAAGAUGUGCCCCCCAGGAGAGUAGGAGAAAAUGCAGGAGCGACCCCAGCAGUUCGUCGCAAGACUUACCACCAUCACCAGAGAUGUGGUACAAGAAUGGCCACCCAAAUCUCAUGGGAAAUGGCUGUCGACAUGAGAAACAUCGCGAGCCAGAAUAUGGCUAUGAGGGAGCUCAUGGCCAAGAUGCAGGGCUAGGAAGGUUUCCCUAUGCCUCCCUAUGCACCCCAAUGGCAAUAUCAACAAGAAGAAGAGGUCCAAAGCCAAAGGGUUGCAUCACCGGACUAUAAUUAGGGUGGUAUUCUUCUGGAAAGGGAAGUAGAAGUUGACAUUUCUUCCAGCUAUGCUUCCGGCCGACCUAUCGAGGUCCCAUAUAACCAAGAUAACUUCCCACCUGCUAUAAGCCGGAGCAAAGACACAGGAGGUCAAACAGUGUUUUUGAUAGAAUCAGCCCAGCUGAGCCGAGGCACAGAACGCAACAACAACCUCGUGAGCCUCGGGUGAGGCCACAGCCCCACCUCUGACAACUCAGCAACCGGAGGAAAGGCAUGAAAAUGUCCCCAUGUUGCUCCGCCUAGAAAUAAGCGUCAAAGAAGGGAGGAGGAGGCUAGAAACCAGGCUUAUGCAUCACACUCGCCCCCAAGAUAUGAGGUUGACGAAAAUAAUGACUCAGAUGAACAGUGGUGGUCCUGUAACCUAGAUGAUGACGAUGAAAAUCUACUGUUUUUAAGAGAAUUAAGAAGCGCCCAAGUACUAGGCCACUAUAUCAUGCCUAAAAUACCAAAAUAUGACGGGAGAGGCGACCUGGAGAAACACUUGAACGCCUAUAAGACCCACAUGAGCUUGAGAGGAGCCACUUCGACAAUGAAGUGUAGAGCCUUCCACUUAAUGCUUAGUGGAGCCGCCGAAAUUUGGUACAACAGGCUGCCACCAGGAAGUAUAAGAAGUUGGCCAGAGUUCCCAACCACCUUCCUAAAGAGGUUCGUUGUGUGUAAGGAAUGAGAUGCCCCUAUCCAGUGCCUUCAAGACAUGAGACAGACGCAUGGAAAAUCCCUAAAGAACUUCUUAUCACGCUUUAUUGAUGAAAUGACAUACUGCGUGCAAGUCAUUGAUCGUGAGGCCUUAUUAGCUCUAAGGGAUGGUUUGAAUAUGAACACCCUGUUCUGGAGGAAUGUACAAAACUAGGAUCCCACCACCUAUGAUCCCCUGCUUAAAAUGAUGAGGCGAUAAAUAAUCAAUGAAGAAUCGAUUGAACACGGGGAUAGAGCCAGCAGACAAAAGCGGUGUGCCAGAGGGCCGACAUCCCACUUGAUGGACUACCAGAUGAACCAAGCUGGUAAUGAAAGCUCAGGGCAAGCACUCGCCACCACCACUUUGAAUGCAAUGCCAACCUUGGCAUAUGAAGAUGUCAAUCCUACGAUCGAUAAUUAGCAGGCUGGAACUUCACGACAGGCCCCCGCAGAGGCAGAGGUCGAGGGUAUGGUUCAGGACCUAGGAAUAGGUCGAACCAAAAUCUCCCUGAGUAUUGUACGUACCAUCGUUCAUACAGCCACGAUACCAUCGAUUGUUGUGAUUAUGCACACCACACUCGAGAUAAAAGAAAUGAAUCACCCUAGGCGAACAGGCCUCCACCUAGGUAUAAUCAGCAACCUAGGCGUGAGGGGGCCACCCCUGCCAGCGGGAUACAUCUUCUCGCAGAAGGUAGUAUGAUGAGGAAAGGCCCAAUGAAGGAUGUAGGCAUCGUAGAGGUCGUCAGGAACUGCGCCCUUGUUGACAGCUACAUUGUAGGCAGCGGCUCUUGGAGAAAUCAAGCGCCACCCAUCGUCUUCACCCAAGAAGACUCUAAGAGAGUUUACUACCCCCACUACGAUGCACUUGUGGUAAGGGCCAAGGUGGCCCGGAAUAGGCUCAAACGAAUGCUUAUCGACAAUGGCAGCUCUGUUAACAUCCUAUUUGGGUCUACCUUUGACAAGAUGAUCUCAGACCAUGAGUUGAUGCCCACCACAACUCCCUUGUAUGGAUUUACAGACAACAGCAUCACUCCAAGGGGAAAGAUCGUCCUCUCAGUAGAGAUGGGGGAAUCACCCCAAACCACGAUGAACUUCAUGGAGUUCCUCAUUAUUGACGGCCAUUCAGCCUACCAUAGAGUGUUAGGUAGACUAGCCCUAAAAGAAUUAGAAGCUGUCACCUCCAUCUACCACCUAUGUAUGAAGUUCCCAGCUGAAAAUAGAGUGGCGACAGUGAGAUGUGACAAAAGAGGAUCUAGGGAUUGCUAUCUGAGCUCCAUUAGGAAGGUUGAGCCCUAGGACGUACAUGUCAUCAUCGUAGACAUGGACAUGACUGACGUCCUAGGCGAGGCUCCUGAACGAGAAGACGUUGAGAUGAUCAAUGCACCUCCCUAGUAGGAAGAGUUACUCAUGCUUGAUGAGAUUGACCCUUGUGUGACUGAACAUGUACCUCAGAUAACCCCAAUUGAGGAGUUGGAGAACUUUUCGGUGGACUCCCAGAACCCCCACUAAAGUGUUGAAAGUGGGCAAGGGUUUACCUAAUGACUUGGAAGAGAAACUGAAGGACUUCCUGUGUAGGAACCUCGAUGUCUUUGCUUGGAGGCAAGAGGACAUGGUACGCAUAGACCCCAAGGUUAGUUGCCACCACCUGAAAAUCGAUCCCAAGGUUGCCGCGUAUAGACAAAAAAGAAGAGCCCUCAACCCAGAGAUGUAUGAGGCCCUAAAAGAAAAAGUGUAGAACUUAAUCCAGAAUGUCUUCAUCAGAGAGGCCAUUUACCCUAAAUGGAUCUCCAACCCGGUGCUAGUCAAGAAGCACAAUGGCAAAUGGAGGGUACGUAUCGACUUUACUAACCUUAACAAAGCAUGCCCCAAAGAUAGCUUCCCACUUCCAAGGAUCGACCAAUUGGUAAACUCCACCGUCGGGCAUGAGCUUCUAAGUUUUAUGGAUGCCUAUUUAGGCUACAAUCAGAUCCCCAUGUACUCGGCCGAUGAGGAAAGCACCUCCUUUAUAACUGACAAAGGCCUUUACUGCUGCAAAAUGAUGCCCAUUGGGUUAAAAAAUGCUAGGGCUACAUACCAAAGGCUUGUCAACAAAAUGUUUGUGGACCUCAUCUGCAGGACGGUGGAAGUCUAUGUAGGUGAUAUGCUUGUGAAAGUUUGAAGGCAGAUGACCAUGUGACGCACUUGAAUGAUACCUUUCGAAUCCUAAGAAGAUACAGAAUGAAGCUCAAUCUCCUCAAGUACGCUUUCGACAUUACCUCUGACAAAUUAUUGUUGUACAUGGUCAACCAAAGAGGAAUCAAGGCCAAUCUCGAAAAGAUCAAUGCCCUGCUCGAAAUGAGAUCACCACAGAAACCAAAGGAAGUCCAAAGCCUAACUGGAUGGGUGGCAAGGCUCAGCCGCUUUGUCUCCAAGGCUACCGAUAAAUGUCUCUCGUUCUUCAAAGUAUUGAAAGCCGAGAAGAAGUUCCAAUGGACAGAGGAUUGUGAAGAGGCCUUCCAGGGCCUGAAAAGGCAUCUAGGGCAGGCCCCCUCCUUUCCAAGCCAAAGCCUAGCGAUAUUCUUCAAUUAUACCUAGCCGUCUGCAGUGAGGCCAUCAGCGCAGUCCUAAUUCAAGAGGAAGGAAUCACCCAACUCCCCAUGUAUUACACCAAUAAGAUACUUCUAUCCCUGGAAACUCACUACCUUGAUAUGGAGAAGCUGGCCUUGGCCUUGGUUACAGCUUCUAGGAAGCUGAGGCCCUGCUUCCAAGCUCACACCAUUCACGUGCUGACCAACUUUUCCCUAAGGCAAGUGCUUCAGAAGCCCGACGCCUUGAGGAGACUAUUGAAAUGGGCAGUGGAGCUAAGCGAAUUUGAUAUUGUCUUCAGGAUAAGGGCAGCCAUCAAGGGCCAAGCCUUAGCUGAUUUUGUGGCGAAGUUUGCCAACGUGCCUGAGGUAGAAGAGGUUAUGGAACCUGUCGAGCCCCCCACAUGGAACUUGUUCGUGGAUUGUUCGGCUAGAGAAAUCAGAUCGGGAGCUGGGGUAGUCCUUGUAAGCCCAGAAGGUCAUAAGCUGAACUCAGCAGUAAGGUUCAAAUUUAAGGCCACCAACAAUGUGGCAGAGUAUGAGGCACUCCUUGCAAGCCUCAGAUUAGCAAAAGAAAUGUAAGUAAGGAGGCUAAUUAUCAACAGUAAUUCCCAACUGGUUGUAAAUCAAGUGAAUGGCAACUUCUCAGCUAGGGACAAAAUCAUGGCCUCUUACUUGAAAAUGGCGAUGAACCUCCUCUUAUCUUUUGAAAAGUUUGAACUGAUCCAAAUUUCUUAUGUUGAGAACGCACACACUGAUGCACUUUCCAAACUUGCGAGCAGCAAGGAUUCCAAACAACUUGCAAUAGUACUAAUUGAGCACCUCCUCAAACCAUCUAUCGAGGCCCCUAAUAUGAUGUGGGUAGAAGGCACUCCGACCUAGAUGUAGCCUAUCUAAAGGACCAGGUCCUACCCACCAACAAGGACAAGGCCUACAAACUGAGAAGGAGGUCAGCUCAUUUUGUGUUCAUUGAUGACGUGCUUUAUAAGAGAAGUUUUUCCUCCCUACUUAUUCAAUGUGUGGGCGGGGAAGAGGCCACCUAUAUUCUAAAAGUCCAUGAAGGUAUUUGUGGCAACCACUCCGGAGGCCUAGCCCUAGCACGAAAGUUAUUGAGGCAGGGAUACUACUGGCCCACUUUGAAAAAUGAUGCUCUUCAAUUUGUGCGAAAAUGUGACAAAUGCCAACGUUUCUCUCCCAUCCAAAGGCAACCUUCACAAGAACUGAUUGCCGUCUCCAGCCCCUCGCCUUUCUCUAAAUGGGGCGUGGAUCUCAUAGGUCCCCUACCAAAAGAUAGAGGAGUUUCAAACUUUGAAAUUGUGGCCAUUGAUUACUUCACGAAGUGGGUCGAGGCUGAACCACUGGGGAAAAUCACAGAAGCAAACACUUUCAAGUUCUUGUGGAAGAACAUUAUUUGUCAGUUCGAGAUUCUCCACUCUAUAGUCUCGGAUAAUGGAAAGCAAUUUGACAACAAGAAAGUUAGGAGCUUAUCUAAAGAGCUUGGCAUAAAGAAAUGGUCAGGUCGAGGCUAUGAACAAAACAAUCAAGCAUGUCCUCAAAAGGAAACUUGAUGUGUGAAAAGAGACCUGGGUUGACGAGCUACCAUAAGUCCUUUGGGCAAUCCGUACUACAACCAGGACCCCAACUAGGAAAAUACCCUUCAUGAAGGCUUAUGGUACCGAGGCGAUGAGUCCCGUUGAGGUAUGAUUACCAUAACGUCGACACUUACACUUCGAUGAAAUAACUAACGAUGAGCUUCGAAGGCUCGACCUCGACUUUCUUGAUGAAAGAAGGGAUGAAUCCCAGCAAAGACUUGUUAGCUACCAAAAGAAGAUGAUGAAAUACUACAACUCCAAGGUGAAGAAGAGGUCAUUCCGAAUCAAUGACCUCAUCCUCAAGAGGGUCUUCCUCUCCUCCAAGGAACCAGGCGUAGGUACCUUAGGUCCAAACUGGGAAGGCCCAUACAGAGUCAGAGAAAGAUUUGAUCCGAUACCUACUAGAUUGAAGACAUGGAUGGCAAGGCACAGCCUCGUCCAUGGAAAAUUGAUCAUCUCCAAAUUUAUUAUUAGUGAUUGUACCACCUUGCUGGAUGAUCUUUCCCAGCUCAUGUAUCAAAUUUAAAAUUUCAACAAAUUUCUAGUUUGCUUAAGUUCAACAAAUUUCUCCAAGUGUGGGCACCUUAGAGGAGAGUUCCAAAUCCCAACUCUAGGUCACCUCGCCAGAACUCUGAGACUUACACCACAUGCCUCCCUUUGACGAGGCUGAACGCCAAAGGGAGAAGCUCCUUCAUGGCUGCACCAUCCACUAUAUAGGGAGACGUGGGAGCCUCGGAGGAGAGGUCUAGAUUCUAAGUCUGGGUCACCUUGUCUGAACUCUGUGGUGCACGCCACAUACCUCCCUUUGGUGAGGUUGAACGCCAAAGGAAAAGCCCCUACAUGGCUGUACGAUCUACCAUGUAGGGAAGCGUGGGCAUCAUCCCAACUCUGGGUCACCUCGCCUGAAUUCUGAAGCGUACACCACAUGCCUCCCUUUAGCGAGGUUGAAUGUAAAAGGAAGAAGCAUCUGCUCAGAUUCUGCACGACGAGGUUCAUUCAUUAUCACUCAGGUUAUGAGGUUAUUAAAUUUGCUUGAGUAUAACACUUAAGUUUAAUCUUAUUUGAGGUGCCAAUCAUGUGGCUUGAGUUAUUAUUUCAAAUUAUUGGCUCAUCCUUAAGCUCGAUUGCUUGACGAGGCCGAUUUACUUAAAAAACAACAUAUAUCAGAAAAUAGACAGAAUGUUGCAAAAUAUGGCAUUCAUUGGUCUUGGACAAAUUACAAGAGGUAGGCCCAAGGCCUGUACAUCAGAAUAAACUGAAAGUAAACUACACUAUGCUUGGAUAGAUAGUGAAGCUGCCUCGACAGAAGGUGUCUCCACAGCUUGAGCUUCAGAAUUAUCUUUAUUCUCUUCAGUCGCUUCGCCACCGACUGCUUCCUCAGCAGGGGUCUAAGGGACUUCGUCCACAAACUCUAACCUCAGUUGAGAUAGGUCAUUUUUUGGGUAGAGCUACUCAGCCCUCUCCAUCAUCUCAGCAUAAGCGAAGUUUCUCCAGUAUAAGUCGAAGCGUUGAUACUCCUCAGAGAGAUGGAAGUUUGCAAUAAUCCUUAACUGCCUCCUCCUUGGCUAUCUCGGCCUCUCUUCCAGCCUUCUACAGCUCAUCUAUAUGCCACUUUAUUUGGCCCUCCAGAAACUUGUAUGCACCGUUGGCCCUGAUCAGCUCUAAAUUAGCCUUGUCCAAGGUCUCAGCAGUUAUCUUCUAGUGAUUGUUAGAAAUCUCCACUUUCUUGGUGAGAGAAGCUACCUCACAUUGAGAUUUAUAAACCUCCUUCUUUAAGGCCUCAAAUUGGGCCAAGGCAGAUUCCAGCUUGGCACUAUCUUCGACUCUUUGGGCCCUCAUCUCAUCUGCCUUGGCCCUUAUUUUCUUCAUCUUCUCCUCACUGGAGGCUAGCUUCUCCAAGGAAGACUUGUUCCUUGACUGAAAAUCAGUGAGGGCUUCUCUGCACUCCAAUGCGAGGCCAAAUGUCUACACAUUUUGGCUUAUGAGGGCCCUCAUAAGGUCUGCAGCAUCGCAGGACGAGGCAUGCAAUUGCCAUCGAUCCAUCCAAAACUUGUAAAUUCUCUGUAUCCCUUGGACUUCGAUCGGCAGUGCCUCAAGCAACGCAGGAGCCAAUUCCUCCUCUCGCCUCGAUAAGAAGUUGGGGGACUUUCCUUGUGUCCUUGAGGCCCACUACCUCUUUCACUGCCAACCUCGUAGCCUCUCCCCUUGCUUCUUCCUCUUUUACCCUCCUCACCAUCUCAACUUUGGCCAUUUAGGUAGAGGCCAUCAACUUAGGAGGAGGAGGAGGAUGAUCGCUUUACCUGAAUGGGACAUCGAGGUCCCAAAUUUCCCCAAGGAGUUGGAAAUAUGCACCAACUUCCUCUUCUUCUGAUGCUUCUCGGGGACCUUCUCCUUGCCCCUAGACUCUUAAGGCUUUUCCUUCGAAGGGGCCUCCUCCUCAUCCCCUUCGAUGUGUGCUCUUUGGAGAGUUUCUCUAGCCUUUCCCUCACCUCUUUUGCAGCACUGGAGCUCGAUUUCAAAGUCUUAUCCCCCACUGUAUAAGUGGCCUUUAGGAUGGUGGCCAUAUCUAGAACAUGGUACUCCCUCCUCUUGAAUUUAUCUGCAAAAAGUAGUAAUAGUUUAGAACUAUAUCAACAAUUCUGAAAUUCCACCAAGUACAAGCACCUCUUACACUUUGAAGCUAUUACCCCGAAGUCGAUGAAAUAUCUGCUUCGGUCGAUAAGAUGAUUGAAGUGACGAAGCUUUAAGGGUCGCUUGUAGAUGUCCUCUAUCAUGUCGAACUCACCUUCGUGAAGCUCGUAUCUCGUACUAGAAUCUGUAAUAUUAGCAUCAACAGUCAAAAUUCAAGAAAAUUCAGUACAGAUGAAACUUCACUAGGUUGGGCCACUCACGUGCUUAGUAGUACUGGGUCUGUACUGUGCAAGCGAAGAUUGUAUCCCCCUUAACUGCCUGCCACUUUUCCCGAACCCAGAAACACGACUCCUUCCACCCCUUGAUGGAAGAAGGCAACCCCACCACAAAAGGUGCAUGAGCCCCCCAGGGAGUGAUGCAGUACCACCCCUUAGACUCCUUACUUAUGACACGGGCUUGGAAAAGGGUUUAGAAGACAUGUAGAGGCAUAUCCUCCCUUAAUGACACUUCUUUCCACAAUAAGUACGACCCCACUAGCUGAAUCCACCCAUUUGACAGAACCUGGGUCGGUGACAAUAUAAAAUUUCUAAGCAUAACCCUAAAGAAGGGGUGUAGAGGAAGAUGCAUACCUACUUUGAAUAGGUAUUUAUUUACGGCCUCACAUCCGGGCCUCAAAAAACAAGCCCGUUUGUGGGCCUACUAACAUUUCUAUGUAAUAAGGAACGCAAUACUUCUCCCUAAUCUCCCCCAAUUUCUUCGAGGUCAUGUUUGAUGCUAUCUUUGUAGCCCCCCACUCCUCCUCGUAAUCUAUGGGCUCCUCGACCAUGGCAUAGUGUUCGACCUCGAAGUCCUUGCUUAGAACAGCCCCCAUACCCAACCUAACUAUAGUGAUCAAGUCUCUACCCGAAGUGGAUUCCAUCCCGGAUAUCAAGAAGUAAAGAUUGACAAACAAGUUCAAAUUUUGAAAUUGAAUACUUACACUAACGACUAAGGAAACCAAGAAAUACCGAAAAAUGGGAUCGGAGCAAAGUUUGGACGCCAAAAAACCUACAAAAUUUCAGAGGAAAAUCACAGAAAUCAGAGGAUGAAGAAGGGUUCAAAAUGGGGGUCUUUGGCCUUUUAUAGAAAGCCAAGACGAACCCUAGCCUUUCGAUCGAGGCCCAACAAAUCUCAGCCUUUUAUUCUAAGGUUAAAUUCGAGGCGUAGAAUUCAAAUCAUUUUGAAAUUAACGCCUCAAAUUCAAAUGUGCCUCUCACGCACCUCUCCAAACGCGUCUCCUUCUAGAAGCCCUAGCUGUAGCAAUCAUUGCACAUUUAAUGCAGCAGCCGUACAUGCCUUGGAAGACAUAGUGGCUUUGGUGGUUUUGUUGAAAACAUGAGCAAAACAUCAAAUCAUUGGCACGACCAUCGAAGAACAAUCAUUAACAAUGAGCCUCAGCCGGGUUGAUUCACUCGUCGCCUCGGCUUUUUCAUCACAAUUCAGUCACAUCGUCACAAGCCUCAGCAGGUUCAAUUUACUCCCUGCCUCGACCUCACAAUUCAGCCACAUCUUCAUAAGCCUCGGUAGGUUCGAUUCACUCACCGCCUUAGCGUCUUCAUCACAAUUCAGCCACAUCUUCACAAGCCUCGACAGGUUCGAUUCACUCCCCGCCUCGGCUUCUUCAUCACAAUUUAGUCACAUCUUCACAAGCCUCAGUGAGUUCGAUUCACUCCUCACCUUGCCUUCUUCAUCACAAUUCAACUACAUCUUCACAAGCCUCUGCAGGUUUGAUUCAUUCACCGCCUCGACUUCUUCAUCACAAUUCAGCCACAUCUUCACAAGCAUCGGUAGGUUCGAUUCACUUACCAUCUCGACUUCUUCAUCACAAUUCAUCUAUUAUUUCAACAAUAACAUUUUUAACUCUAACCAUGAUAUAAAUAUCUACAUUUGGACUUGGGGGACUAUUAUUUAGGGUUAAAAAAUUCUUUCAAUUUUUACCCAACAAAUUGGCUUUACUUCAUCAAAGUCCAUGCAUUACAUAAAUGAUUAUACUUGGGGACUAUUGUUACGUGCUAACACACUUAGUCGAUCCACUGAGGCCCAUGGCCCACCUAUGCCAAACCACGUGGCAUAGUGGCCAAGCCCCUUAGGCCCACAAAGAAUCAGGAACUACUCGAAACACGAUCUAUGACGUGGCCCAGAGUGCCAGAAUGCCAAAGUGCUGUAGCCUAAGUGGUUCAUAUUUUCGAGGCUGAUCAUACCGAGGCCUAUCAUGCCGAAGCCCUGGAACACCUCUCACAUCACUUCUCCCCAGAGAUCCGGCCUUACACAAGAAUCCUCUUUGAAUGAUUGAUGGGACACCUAUCAUAGAGCACCAGUGUCUUGUCUUGUCAAAAUAGAGGCGGCUCUGCCAAUUAAUAAAUGUACAGUAGGCUAGGAGGUCAAACUUGACACCUAUAGUUUGACAUGUAAAUUAACGAGAUGAGGCCACAUGUACUCCCAACUGAGGGCCACAAUCUAACUUGUAACAUUAUAAAUACUCCCUUAUGUACCCCAUACAAAGACUAAUGUAAGAUUCAACACAAGACCAAAUAUAACAUUCUUUAUAUUUCACUCUCUUGCAAUAUACACGAGUUCAUAUACAAAUCUUACAAAUAUCGAUUGGUAAUUAUUGUACAAUCGUUAUGCAAACAUCAUUCCGAACGUUCUCGUCCCGCGUCUUUGAAUUGCUCCCACACUCUUAUUCUAUUAGUUCUAGAUUGUCCACAUGUCUUAGUGUGUUGGACCAGGCUUAUCUGCGCACGGGUGGGUCUGGUAUCUGUUGGCAACAUAUUCUGGGGUCAACAGUAUGUUUUAGAUUUAUUAUAUCUAAUCAUCCUCAAUGUAUUUUAAAAAAAAUGUUGAAAUUUUGAGUGUAUUAUUGCUUUGAGGAUAAUUAUCAUUGAGUAAAAGCUUUAUCGGCUGCAAUUUAAAAAUUUCCAAGCGUUUGUUUAAUCGUGAUUCUGAUGCUUAAAAUAUUAUCAAUUAGGACAAUGAUUUAUUACAUCUUUUUAAAAGUUAUUCAUAGGGACACAGUAAGAAAAGAUUCUUUAGUAGCCAAGACAAAAAUUAGGUAGAGAAAGAUUCAUUGAACAUUGUCACUUAAUCGUCUAAAGAAUAUGCAAUUAUAUAUGAAGCUGUCGAAGAUUUAUUAUUGAGAUUCGUGUAGUGAAGAUAAACAAUAGUUUGAAUUAUGUUUUUAAUUUAUUGUAUUGAAUUCGGUGAUAUUUUUAAUCUUUUUAUUGUUUAAUUUCAUAAUUAUGAGCGGAUAAAUAAUUUAAUGUUAGGAUGAACAAUAUAACUUUGAUUAAUAUUUAUUUCAUUCAAAAGAUUUGAUACAACAAAUUGAUUAUUUUUUCAAACUUUUUACUCUGGAAAAAUUAUUAUUAUUAUUAUUGUUUUAAAUGAAAUAUUUGAGUAGCAAAUUGGACUCUAAUUUAAAAAAUGAAAAAUUAAAUUAGUAUAUCUUCGAUCUUUCAUAGUAGUUGCACAAUUUAUCUUUAAUAAUAAAUAGUGCUUUUGAAGCCUAUGUUUCGUUUACUUAAUAAGUUGAUAAAAAUAAGUCAACAUCAAGAAUUAAUUUUAUUAUAUAUUUCAUGAGACCCAAUUGAAUAUAAAAGGAUUAUCAGAUAAUUUAGAAGAAAUUUAAACCAUUUUUAUUAUAUUGAUUGUAACUACAUAACAAAAGUUACAAAAGUAGACUUGAUCUGCACCUCUAGUAAUCAUUUUUUUUUAAUAACUAAAAUCUCUAAAUGAAGAAAAUUUAGAAAUGUAAUCCUUAUUUAAAUUGGGAAGAUUUUUAAACAAAAGGUUAACCUCAAUCUCGCCACCAUUAUAUGCCAGGGUAAGAAACAUUGUAGGUAUCAUCCAUUUUAAAAAUGUCACAAUUUCAUUAGUUAACUUACGUUUUAAUUUCAACAAUUUAUUCACUCGAUCCAAAUGUUGGCCUGGAGCGUCAGUAAGCUGUGCAUUUUGCUACUAUAAGAAUUUGAUUUAAAAGAAAUGAAAAUUGGUUAAGUAUUAAACCAUGAAAAAUGUGAAAAAUGACUUUCAUGUCAACUUUGAACAAAUAUUCAGACUUGAUCCAAUAAUCAAAUUAUGAAAAUAAGUAGACUACCUAGUUUUACUCGUCGAGUAGAUGAUCGUGGUAUGUUUGGACUCUCAAAACUAAUUCCAGAUGAAUGAAAAAUCGUGGUUCGAAAUUGAAAGGAAAAAUUUCGAUUUUCAACACCUAUGAUUGCCUCGCGAGCGGCAACCCAGCACUAGGUGAGCGAUAUAUGCUUUUGGCACUCGAGCAGUCCGCCAACGGUAGGCGAAAGGCAAAGAGGGGUGCGUCUCCUUAUGAAGGUUGCUGAGUUUUUGGGAGUGUCUCUUCAUUCACAAUCCCUCAUCUUCUAUAAAUUGGACGACUUGGACAUCAUUUAGACAUGCCAAUUCGUUGUAUCUUGGAAAACAAUUGCCGUUACUCCGUUAGCACCAUCGUGGGGGCAAAUUUGUCUUAAGAAAAAAGUUUUAUCACUUGUCUCGGAUCAUUUCAUCCAAAUUUCUUCUUCUUUUAAUUUUUGGUUCUACCAUCUUCCUUUGUGGUUUAACAUCAUUUUGUGUUGUUAAACUUGUGCUAAAAUCUUGUCCACGUGCAAAAUGUAACAUUUAUAACAUAUCUCCCAACAAUCUUAAGACAAAGUUUUCUGUUGUACCCAUUCUCUUCAUCUUUUGAAGUAGGCAUUUGUGCUAUUCCUUCCUCAAAUUUACUUUUGUUGAACUUCUGUUUACAUAAUAGAAAUGAAUAUCAUUGAAACUAGUUCGAGCCAAACAAUGUGGUUUUGUCUUUGGAUAUACCACUUCAAAAUACUCCAAUUAUACAUGAGGAAAAAAAUCGUAGAUAUUUGGAGGAGUGGACUCUAAGAGAUGACAACAAAAGAUGUUGUUUUAUCUCACCACUUUAAAUUUGGAAAAGUUCUUAACAGAAACCUCUCUAGUGGUACAAGAAUGGAAAGGUAAUCGUGAAAUGAUUAUUGCGUUGGAUACAGGAAAGCACUCAAAUUUUCUUAACAAGAACUACAUACUAAAUGGAUUGAACAAUACAUUUUUAUGGAGUGUAGAGUACUAUGAUAUCGGUAAAGAAACUUUGUAAUUCUUUGGAGAAAAAGUACAAAACGGAGGACUCCUGCAUGAAGAAGUUCAUUUUUAGAAUGUUCCUUGAUUCCAUGAUGAUAGAUUCCAAAACCGUCAUUACUCAAGUGCAAGAACUACAGGUUCUAUUUCAUGACAUUCAUGCGAAGAAAAUGGAGUUAAGUGAGUCUUUCCAUGUCCCUGCAUCAUCAAGAACCUCCUACCUUUAUGGAGAGAUUUCAAAAGCUAUUUUAAGCACAAAUGCAAAGUGGUGAACUUUGAGGAAUUGAUUGUCCUUCUUCGGAUUGAAGAAGACGAUAGAAAGACUAAAAGGAAGUUUGUUGUUCAACAUGGAGCAAACUUUGUGAAAUCCGGUUUGACGAUCAACAAAAACUGUAAGGUUUUGGGUGAUGCACCGGAAAGAGACAACUUCAAAAAAUGUCAAAAAGUUCAAAUGGGACUGCUACAAAUUUGAAAAAAAUGGGACAUUACUCUAAUGAAUGUCAAAAGCCUAAAAAAAAUGGACAAGGAAAUGUAGCUGAAAGAAAUAUUCUAUCUAAAUGAGUACAAGAAACGAAUAUGUCUAUGGUUGUUUUUGAAUACAACAAUGUUGGUAAUCCAAGGGAAUGGUGGGUUGAUACUGGUGCUACCCACCACAUUUGUGCAGAUAAAACUAUAUUCUCAAAGUACAAAAAACUAAAUGAAGAAUAACUUUUCAUGAGAAAUUCUGCAAGCUUAAAGUUGAAAGACAAGAAAAUAUUACUUUGAAGAUGACAUUCGACAAAGAGUCUCAACAAUGUCCUACAUAUAUUGGACAUUCGUAAGAACCUUGUAUUCGGGUCAUUACUUAGCAUAAAUGACUUUAAACAUGUAUUUGUAUCCAAUAAAUUUGUGCUAAUUAAAAAUGAGAUGUAUGUUGAUAAUUUUUACUUAUAUAAUGAAAUUAUCAAAAUGAAGGCUCUUACAAUUCUAUUGAAACAAAGUAUUAUGAAUAAACGUUUAAAUUUUACUUAAAGCUUAAAUUGUUUUUUCAUGGCAUAAUUGAUUAAGACAUGCAAAUUAUAGAUUUGUGCAUAUAAAAUUAUGAAUCAAAAUUUAAUUUCGACGCUUAAAUUUGAUCCUAAUUUUAGAUGUGAAAUUUGUGUUGAGGCAAAAUUGUCCAAAACAAUCAACAAUGGAAUCAGAGUUUAUUGCUUUGGACAAAGUUGGUGAAUAAGCAAAAUGGCUUCGUAACUUUUUGGAAGACAUUCCAUGUUGACCUAAGUCGGGACCUGCAAUAGGCAUAUAUUGUGAUGGUCAAUUGGCUAUUGGAACGAUAUAAAACAGUAUGUAUAAUGAUAAGUCUAGAUAUAUACGUCUUAGACUCAAUGUUAUUAAGCAACUGAUCUCAAUGACAUUAUCUCUAUAGAUUAUGUGAAAUCAAAGGAGAACAUUACGAAUCCAUUUACGAAAGGCUUAUUGAGAGAUCAAAUAUGUUGCCUAUCGAAAGGAAUGAGAUUAAAACCUAUUACAUAAGAGUCUUUCAGUGUUUCUAUCAUAAAUUCUUCUCCCGUUAUCUGAUUGAGGUAAUUCAAAGUGCGUUGGAAAAUUAACUCAAAGAGCUAUAACUUUUAUUUAGAUAUCAUUUUUCCAAAUCGAAUGUUUCCUAUGUCGAAAAUGGAUCUCAAAUGAGACUAAAAAUUUGAAGUAUACUUUAGUCAUCCAAUAUUCAUGUCUUAGUGCCACUAAGGUGUCUAGAAUUAUUUGGGGUUCUACAUUAGGUUUUUAUCCAAAUAAAGAAUGGACCAAAGGAAAAAAAGUGGUAAAACAAAAAAUGGAGCAGAACGGCAAGCGUUGUAGUGCCGUAGUGGACACCGCGGCAUGGUCGCAAAGCAAAGAAAUUUUAAGAUUUUUGGACUCUUUUCUGCCCCAUUAACAUUCAAAUCUUUUGGGAACUUUAAAGGCACGAAAAAGACAACCGUAAAGGAACUUUUUGGGAAAAACAAUCAAGGAGGAAAAACAAGAGAGAUGACCAACAAUUCCAUGGAGUGCUAAACGUCUUGGUGAAGUUAGGAAGGAAUUCAAUUGGAUUCAAUGAUUUCAACAUUAUUUGAUACAUAGAUUUAGAUUUUCACUCUAAAUAAUUCUAUGGUUUAAAACUUCUUUUCAUAAAAGUGUUUUGAGAUUGACUAAACUUUUAUUAAAAUUCUUCAUAAAUUCAAUCACAUUUUCUCUAUUGAAUGAUUAAAAUACUCAUUUAAGUUUUAAUCAUUUAUCUAUUUUUAUUGGUGUAAUUCAUUACUAUUUUAUGUUUGAAGUAUAUGGUUGUUUUUAAAUCUUAUUCUAGUAAAAAAAAAGUAUGAGUAUUGUGGCAGGAGAGUUAAUAUGUAGAAUUACAAUUGAAUUAAGCCGAUUUUAAUGACAUUUCUUCCAAUUAGAGAAACUAGGUUGAAUAUCUCUAAUCGGGUUAUAAGAAUGAACCAUUGAUGUUGAAUGACCCAAUUCAAUUGAGAGAAUUCUGACGCUUCACUAAUUCAAACCUUGAUUUUAUUUUCAUUCAAACAAAUAAAUUGUUUUUACACAUUCAAAAGAACAUUCACCUUUCAGAUCUAUUAAGUAUUUUUAACUCUCUAUGAAAUCGACAGCCCAAAACUGUACUACAACUACUACGUUAUUCUUUGGAUGUAACCAAAUUUUGAUGACGUUGCUAGGGAGAUGGUACAAGUAGCUAAGAGAUUUAAUUUUAAAAGGGUGGCUUCGUUUCUUUAUUAUUCUUUAGUUGAUUUAUUUUAUUUAUUGUUAUUCUUUAUUCUCACAUUAUUUCAUUUUUGUGUUUUAUGAUAGAUAUCGAGACAAGUAAGGAAGAUUCGUUGAUAGAUCCUACAGAGUGUUUAAAUCUCUUUGUAACCCUACUUUCGAUGCUGUAUCUGUUGACACUGGCACCACAUCACAUAACACUAUGUGUGAAAGUGAGCACGAAGAUCUACCUUAUAGAAUUCGAAAGGAUUAUCUUCAUCCCACGCUCACAUCCAUACCAUUAUGCAUUAUUUUUCUACCUAAUAUGUCACGUAUAGACCUUGAACUAGGAAUGAUAAGCUUUUUCCCACUUUUCACAUACUUGAAAGUGAAAAACCAUAUGUGCAUAUUAAAGAGUUUGAGGAGGUGGUUGCAAUCUUCCAUAGUCAACAUUGUACAGCGGACCCUAUCAAGCUUAAAUUUUUUCCAUUUUCACUUAAAGAAAGAGCAAAAUCUGGUUAUAUUCAUGAUGACCACGUUGAUUGGAACAUGAGGUGUAAUAACUACUCAAGUCUUUUUCAACAAAUACUUUCCUCAUCAUAAGACUAGUGUCCAGAAGAAACAAAUUUCUUUAUUUGCUAAAAAAGAUAGUGAAACCUUAUACCAAGCAUGGGAAAUAUACUUAGAAUUACAAACCCAUUUGCCCCCACCAUGAUUAUGAAAGUUAGCAUACUGUGAGUUAUUUUCAUGAAGGACUGACACCUAUAGAGCAUCAAUUUGUUUAGAUGAUGUGUAAUGGUGAGUUCUUGCAAAAAGACCAAGCGAGGCCAUAGAGUACUUAGAUGAGUGUGUUAAAAAACUUGCACUUGGAUUGGACCUAGCACUUCUACUAUCACUAAUAGGUCUCAACCAAUAGGAAACUUUUCUAGCACAAGUAUUUAUCAUCUUAGGGAGGAGGAUAACCUCAGAGCCAAAGUAGAAGCCGUUACUGGAGAACUUGAAACCCUACACACUAAGGACUUAAACUUUACACAUAUUGUUUCCCGUGUUGAGUCCCUUGGACCUUGUUUUGUGUGUAGUAGAUCAUCUUGCGUAGAAGUGUACCACUCUAGCUGAGAUGAGGGGGUUUAUGAGGAACAUUGUAAUGUCUUAGGUAUGUACAAGAAGCCAUAUGCUCCUUUUUCUAAUACCUACAUUCAGGGUGGCGGAAUCAUCCCAAUUUCAACUUAAAAUCUAAAAUCCAGUAACUUGGCUAGUCAUCUAGAGCUUACACUAUGCCUUCAUAUCAGCUCACAUCCUUUAAGAACUAUUUAGAAGAAACUUUACGUACAUUUAUAGAGGCAUAAGUUAAGACUAAACAGGAGUUUGAGACUAUGAUUACUCAAAUUAUUGAGGAAAACAAAUAGAUGAAAAAUCAUACGUCUAAAUUGACCAAUACUUUAGUUGUAGUAUAACGUGGAAAAUUUUCAGCUCAAGCUCAACCAAAUUCUAAGAGACAAUACAUGGCACAAACAUUAGGUUCAGAAGAAAACAAUCUUAAAGAAGUUAAUGUCAUUACCAAUCGAACUGGGAAGAUUAUAGAACCAUUCUUGAAGUCAUUGGGAAAAUGAAAAUGACUAGUAAUUCUGUAAAGAGCAAUCCUAGUGAAAAGGAGUAGAAAAUAUAGCUACAGUACCAUUCCAUCAAGCUCUUAAGUCUACCUUGAAAGUUUUUUUUUUUUAGUAAAGACAUUCACACAUCCUUAGUGACUUUUUAGGGUCCACCAAGGAAGGUUGAUGGGGGUUAAGGGUUCCCCAACCAUAUUUAUUUUAUAAAAAUCAAGAAUACACGGAAGGAGGGGGGCAUGAACCUGACCUCCAAAAAGCAGCGAUGCAACAACUGAAUAUAAUAAAAUGAAAGUAAUAAAUGAGGAAGUACUACUCCCCUAUACAAUAAAAACAGUUUAAUAAUCAUAGCCUAAAUUACAAACCUCUGAAACUUGGCAAUCCAUGUUUGUCGAUCUGCACUAGCGCCCUAAUAUGUCGAGGCAGUUCUAGUGGUCCAUACUCUAAAUAGCGCCGAUGAUCCCAGCCUUCUGUAGCAAGAGAAUCAGCAACCUGGUUGCCUUCUCUGUAGAUAUGUGAAACAGUAUCUCUAUCGAAGUAGAUGAGGUCUCUGAUCUGUCUAAGAAUACCCUGAAUCGACCAUGGACCUCCACCUUUGGUGAUGCAGUGAAUAGCCAAUGUUGAAUUUGCCUCAAGCCAGAUAGCUGAAAUCCCAAGUCCUCUGGCCAAUAGAAGCCCAUCUAGUAUAGCUCUGAGCUCAGCCUCCAAAAUGAAACAUGGGCCGUACGAUGCUGAAAAUGCCUUGAUACAGUAUCCUGCAUGGUCCCUAAUGAUUCCUCCACCACUUGCAAAUCCAUCUUUGACGCAUCCAUCAGUGUUGAUCUUGUAGGAUCCAACUGGUGGAGUGCACCAAACAACCAUAAUAGGUAGUGGUGGGAGAGGACGGGUCAAAGAAAUGCUAAAAAAGGGUGCAAGUGUCACAUCUCCUUGCCAAUGCUCAACUCGGAAUAGUCCUUCCAUAUGAAGAAAGGAGAUCAUGCGGUAGACCCUCCAAAUAAUACGUCUGGCCACCAUACGAAUACCUUUAUGCUUCGCAUCAUUCCUCUCAGUCCAUAGAAACCAAAAUAUCAGUAGAGGAAUGAUAGUACGAAUGUGCCCACGGCUAACGUGCUGUCUAGAAUACCGCCAUCUCUGGAACCUUUGUCGGACCCCCUCCCCUAAAGUCAUAGGUAUCAGAAAGAUGUCUCCAAAGUGCUGCCAUACCUGGUCGGAGAUUCUGCUACUUGUGAAAAUAUGAUUGAUGGUCUCAAUCUCAGAACAACACUGACAACGAGAGGCCAAUUGACAUCCAAUCCUCCUCUGAAUAAUCACAUCUACAGGAAUGAGAUCCUACCAUAGUCUCCAACAGAAGAAUGAAACAGUGGUAGGCAAAAUUGAGCUCCACAGUAAUCGAUACGAAUCUUGAGGCUGGCGAACCGAACGGACAAGCUGCCAUCCUGAUUUGGUGGUAAAGUUACCAUCCGAUGUAAUCCUCCAAACAAUUCGGUCUGGGGCAUCUGCACAUAGAGGUAUCGCCCCUAUUUGUUCCGCCAUUUGAGAAGGAAGGGCCUGUAAUAACUGUCCAAAAUCCUACCCAGUGUCAUCAAAGAAAUCCUGCACCCUCGCAGAUGUGUGCUGUCUGUGUGGGAAUAGGGAUGCCAACGUGGUCUCGCCCAUCCAACAAUCGUGCCAGAAGAAAAUCUGGCCUGUUCCAAGAUGUCAGGCAAUGUGUGGAUCUGUCUAUGGUCCAACUAAUUUCAGCCUCUUCCAGGUAGGGGAAGUUGAACUGGGAACUGCUGCAAGUGAAGGAUGUGUUCCCAUACAAUACUUGCCCAGUAAAAACUGAGCCCAAAGUGACCUCUGAGAUUGAAACAACCACCAGAGCUUCAUGGAGAAGGUGUCCACCACAUCUUGUAAUCUCCUGAAGCCAAGGCCUCCCUCAUCUGUUGGAAGGCAAAUCUCCUUCCAACUCCUCCAAUGUAGGCGUCGAACUUGAUCCUUAGAAUCCCAUAGAAAUCGGGCAAAGAUGCUCUCAAGCUUCUUCAGCACUACCUUGGGCGGUUGCAUUAUCUGAAGAAGAUGCAAUGGUAUGGAGGAGAGUACUGACUUUAGUAAGGUAAUACGACCCCCAGGUGAUAAUAAUCGUGAAGCCCAACCUGAGAUCCUGCCCCUGACCUUCUGGAUAAGGUCGUCAUAAAGAAAGCUCCUCUUAGUCCCCUUGAAUAGUGGGACUCCCAAGUAAGUAAAAGGCUGCUGCUGAUGUCUAAACCCAGUAAAAUUCUCCAAUCGUCUGAUCUAACUAGUGGAUGCCCAUCUUGAUAGUAUUAGACCACUCUUGUCUCUAUUGACCAACUGGCCAGAAACCCCUUCGUAGUGCUCCAAGCAGUCUAGGACCCUCCUGAUAGACUGUUUCUGACCAUUGGCAAAAAUGAUCAUAUCAUCAGCAAAUGAGAGAUGGGAAACAAGAGUGUUACCUCCGUGUCGAUAGCACAUACUGGGAUACUCCUGAAACCUCUGAGUGAGCAGGCGUGAAAAGUAGUCUGUCGCUAUGAUGAAUAAGGAUGGAGAGAUAGGAUCACCCUGUCUGAGUCCUCGUGAGGAAGUAAAGAAACCAUAUGGACGGCCAUUUAGAAGUACAGAAAAACGGCACUCCGAAAUGCAUCGUCUAAUCCUGUCAAUCCAGAUCUGAUCAAAUCCAAAAGCCUCCAAUACAUAAUAAAUGAAACCCCAAUCCAUGCGAUCAUAUGCUUUAGCCAUGUCUAACUUCAGCAUAGUGUUAUCCCCUCGCACUCUAUCAUCCAACAUAAUAAGAUCCUAGAAUGCCUCAAGCAAGAGAAAAUCAAUUUACCUCUCUUGCAUGUGAUUGACCAGGUUCUACAUAUGCUAAAGUCCUCAAAGACUUAUGUACCAUAAAGAGGAAACACUAUGUCAAAAAUAAUGUUAUUUCGACUGAGCAAGUGAGUGUUGUGAUUGAGAAAAUAAUCCCAUCGAAAUAUAAGGCCCUGGUUGUCUUACCAUUUCUUGCAUCACUGGAAGCCAUGAGUUUACAUAAGCUCUUCUUGAUUUAGGACUAGUGUUAACCUCAUGCCUUAUGCUAUUUACUCGUUGUUAGACAUAGGUGAGAUAUAACCAACAUUUGUAGUUUUACAAUUGGUUCAUCGAUCCACUAAAAGACCAAGAGGAAUAGUUCAGGAUUUUUUGUACGAAUGGAUAAAUUUUAGUACCCUAUUGAUUUCUUAGUUCUAGACUUAAAUGUUGAUGUGAAUGUUGAUUCUAAAAUUUCUAUCAUUCUUAGUAGACCAUUUCUACCAGAACUAAUGCUCUUAUAAAUUGCAAGAAUAGUCUAAUGAAGUUAUCUUUUGGGAAAAUGACUUUAGAACGCAAUAUUUUUCACAUCAUUAAGCAACAUAGGGAAGGCGAUAAGUGCUAUCAAACACAAAUGAAUGAGGCACUCACUAUGAAAGAAGCACCUACAGCUACUGAUUUUGACCAAUUGAAUUCUUUUUUCUUAAUUUCUAAAAUUCUAGCAAGUUUUGAUAAUGAGAAAUAUGCUAACAUUUAUGUUGUUUUUGCAAAAUUUCAGAAUUAUGGGACAUCACCAUGGUAGCCCAAGUUUGAAAAAUUUCGAAAUGAGUGGAGAACAACAACCAUCAAACAUCGAGAAUCCCAAACUAGAGUUGAAACAGCUGCCCUCAUGACUAAAACAUGUGUUUCUUGGACCAUGUGAUAUUUUUCCUGUAAUUAUAUCUUUAGAAUUGAAUGCGUUAGAAGAAGAGCAGCUUUUAAAUAUUCAAAAUGAGCAUAAAUCUGCAUUAAGUUGGGCCACAUUUGACAUUAAGGGUAUUGGUCCUUUAAUUUGCUCACAUAAAAUUCACCUAAAGGAGGGAAAAAGCUCCAAAAGAGACUCACAUCAUAGAUUAAACCCCACAACAAAAGAAGUGGUGAAAAAUGAGGUAUUAAAUUUGUUAGAUGUAGGAAUCGUUUACCUAAUUGCAAAUAGUAAAUAGGUUAGUUCUACACAAGUAGAUCUUAAAAAGUUAAGUAUCACAGCGAUAAAGAAUGAAGUAGGUAAAUUGGUUCUUACUAAAGCAGUGACUGGAUGGUGUGUGUGUGUGUGUAUUUAUUAUAGGAAAUUGAAUUCUGCGACUCUUAAGGACAAUUUUCAUCUUCUCUUUUUGGACCAAAUUUUAGAACGUGUGGCUGGCCAUCCUUUUACUAUUUCUUGGGUGGCCAUUCUUGUUAUUAUUAAAUUGAAAUAGCCUUAGAAGACUAGGAAAAUACCACAUUUACUUGUCAUUUUGGUACUUAUGCAUUUUGCAGUAUGCCUUUUUGAGUAUGUAAAGCUAUUGCUAUAUUUAAAGAUGCAUAAUGAGCAUAUUUAAUGAUAUGGUAGAAAAUUGCAUGGAAGUUUUAUUAGAUGAUUUGACUAUUUUUGGGACUUCUUUUAAUGCAUGCUUGUUGAAUUUGGAGAGAGUUUUGACCCAAUGUGAGGAAAAAUGGUUAAUUUUGAAUUGGAAGAAAUGUCAUUUCAUGGUACAUUAAAGCAUUAUCUUAGGACAUGCAAUUUAUUCUAAAGGGUAGAGGUUGAUAAAUUCAAGAUUGAAUUAAUAUCUAAUUUCCUGCAACUAAGACAGUAAAAAGAUAUUAAAUCCUUUCUUGGCCUGUGGGUUUCUAUAGCAGGUUCAUACAUAAUUUUUCAUCUAUAUUUAAACCAUUAUGUAACCUUAUAACUAAAGAUGUCACUUUUGAAUGGAACCCGACUUGCCAAGAGGCUUUUGAAAUGCUAAUUGGCAAGCUAACUUUAGCACCUGUAACAUAACCACCUGAUUGGACAUUGUCAUUUGAGAUUAUGUGAUGCAAGUUAUUAUGCAGUAGAUACUGUCCUUAGGCAAUGAAGGGAGGUAAGCCUUUGUCAUUUACUAUGCUGGUAGGACUCUAAACAGUGCUCAAAUAAAUGACUCUUCUAUUGAGAAAGAGUUACUCAUUGUAGUCUUUGCUCUAGAUAAGUUUCACUCUUAUUUGAUUGGUUCUCCUAUUACAAUUUUCACAGAUUAUUCAACCCUUAAGUACCUUUUCAAAAAGAAUGAUGGUAAGCCAUGUUUAAUACAAUGGAUUUUACAUUUAGAAGAAUUUAACAUCACCAUCAAAGAUAAAAAAAAAAAAAAAAAAAAAAAAGGGGGGGGAAUGGGGGAAAAAAAUAUUUCUUGGUGGCCAUUUUUCUAUGAAAAAAUUGGUGAAAAAAUUCUGCAAUGUGAUUUUUACUGUCCCACUUUAUUUAAAAAUACUAAUGCUUAUUGUAGAUUUUUUGAGAGGUGCCAAAAGCUUGGUGCUUUGUCCAGGAGUAAUAUGAUGCCAUUGAACCCCAUUUUAGUGAUAGAAAUAUUUGAUUAUUGGGGAAUCGACUUUAUGGGAUCUUUUUCACCUUCUUUUGGUUACUCAUAAAUCAUUGUGGUAGUAGAUUAUGUGUUUAAAUAGGUAAAGACAACAGCUUAUAGGGCCAAUAAUAAUAAUAAAGCGGCUGUUAAAUUUUUUUAGGAAAAUGUAUUGUCUAGGUUUGGCACACCACGAGCUAUUAUUAGUGACAGAGUCAUGCACUUUUUCAACCGUUCAUUUGAAACACUAAUGAAAAAGUAUGAGAUUGUUCAUAAAAUUUCUACUGCUUACAUUCCCAAAGUGGAUAAGAAUAAUUGGCUAAUAGGGAAACUAAACAAAAUUUGGAGAAAAUGGUGAACCCCGAUAGUAGAUAUUGGUCUUUCAGACUAAAUGAUGCACUUUUGACUUAUCGUACAGUUUAAAGAUGCCCUUAGGCAUGUCACCUUAUAGACUUAUUUUUGGAAAGUCUUGCCAUUUACCAAUAGAGCUUGAGCAUCGAGCCUAUUGGGCCAUCAAACAUUUUAACUUUGAUCUAGAAGAGGAAGGUAAUCUUAGGAAAUUUCAAUUGACUGAGUUGAAGGAGUUAAAAAAUGAUGCAUAAAAGAAUUCUAAAAUCUACAAGUUAAAAAUGAAAGCAUUUUAUGAUAAAAAUAUUCUUAGAAAAACAUUUGGAGGAAAUCAAAAAGUACAUUUUUAUGAUUCUAGACUUCACGAGGACCCCGAAAAAUUUCGAACUAGCUGGACAAGCCCCUUCAUGGUGAAACAAGUUUUUGAUUGAAAUUGAGGAUUGUAAUGACGGUAGAGUAUUUAAAGUGAAUGGGCAGCGUCUCAAGAUAGUUUAUAGGCAAUAUGUGCCUGUAGUGGAAAAAAUUCUUCUUGCAGACUUGUUUGCCAUCAUUGACAUCACUCAAGCAUGUCUUCCACUUUUCUUUUCUAUAUAUUAGUGUUUUAGGUUUAUUUUCAUUUUUGCGUUAAUUUUCAAUUGAGCACUUCUCAGGUUAACAAUCAUUCAGACUUUAUGUUGAUUUACUUUAGUAUUCAGGUGAUUCCCUUCUUUUUUUUUUCCUUUGGUAGACAUUGAGAACAAUGUCAGAUUUGGUUGGGAAGAGAGUUAAUUUGGAUUUUGUUGUGAAUUUCAUAAUAAUCAUGGAAUUUUGGCUUUGAUUUUGCUGAUUGGUUCGAAAGAAUUUUUUUAAGUCUAUGACUUGUUGCAUGUGUAUGUUCAUGAAUGACAAGAUAUGCCACUUGAAGUUAAUUUUGUUCAUUAGGCUCUAGAUGUCAAGACACUUAUUGAAUUCUUUACAGGCAUACAAACCUUGUGGUAAGAUGGUAGUUUGACAUAUGUAGUUAGAGGGGUCUCUUGCUCAAGUUUUCAUGGAGAGAAUUUGUGAGGAUUAAGAGUUAUCACAUACUAAAAAUGGUAAUAACUUUCAUUGAUUUCUUGAAUUGAAAACUUCUUUUGAGAAUAACACUACAGUUUGUGCUAAGAUGUUGGAUUGUAUUUAGAAAAUGAUGAGAGUCAAUUUAGGAUUGACAUUUGAGCCUUUCAAGCCAACUCUUUUUAAUGAUUACAACCCCUAGUAGUCACUUUGAGCAAAUACACAUAUAUAGCAUUUUUCUUCAUGCACCUAUGUUAUCCAUACCUCUCCAUAUUGGUGUAUAGCCUAUACACAUAUUUUCCCACCUUUUUACUUCCAAGUGUGUAUUAGGUAUUGGAUGUUUAUUUGUAAAUAAUAGAAAAAACGAAAAGGACAAGAGUUGGUAAGUGUUCAAGUGAAGCGACCUAAAAGGCAAAGAGAAAAAUGUUAAAAAAAAAAAAUAGAUGAAAAAAGAAGAUUGAUUUUGGAGAUUGAAACGUUGAAGAAUGCAUUGAUUAAAUGAUGUGGUCUAUUGAAAUACUUGAUGUGACCUAGCUAUGUAAUUGGAAGUCUUUGAAUCCUUAUGCAAUUCUUUUUAAAUAGCCUAACCUAAGUCGCAUUAAAACCGUGUGCAUUGACUGUUCUGGUCCCAAGUAGGAUUGGGGAAAGACUGGAUGAAUUUUCAUUUGAUAGUGUUCCUAUCAUAAGAUCAAAGUUUGCUUGUUACUUGUUCAUAAGUGUUUAAACCUCCAAGUGUUUUAGCGUACAUCUUUUGUCAGCUCCAUAGAGAGAACCCUUACACUAAACACGUUUAACAUCUGUGAGUUAUGAAGUUGAGCCUCUAGCUUGAGACGCACUUGAUGUUACACGUUUUAAGUUUAGUGGUAAGAUGGCUAUAGCUUGGCACACACUCACAAAUUCUGUAAGUGCAUUCGAUAGCCUGAUAUUGAUGACAGUACUAACUUCUUGUAGUGUUGAGUUCGAAAGGCAUGAAUUGUAAUUAAUUUGGAACUUGACUAUUUAAAUUGUAUUGUAGACCAUUCAAUGAUUGUCUUGUUUUGCAUAGAAUUACUAGAGACUAGCAAUAAGCAAGUUCGGGGGUAAUAAGUGCACGAAAGUGUACUUUAAACACCAAAUUAUUGUGCUAAAAUGCCAAAAAGUGAAUAGCAAUCAUAGGAAUUAAUUUAUGUUGUUUGAAGUGUUGUUCCAUUUACUUUACGAAAAUUUAUAAGCUGAUUCAUAUAUUUAAUUUGAUGUUUUUAUACAAGUGAAGUAUAGACUAAAGAUAUGGUCGGCGUUGCAAGGUAGUAGGCACCGUGGCAUUUGUCACAAAGAAGAGGAAUUUUCAAUUUUUUGGACUCUUUUCUGGACCAUUUGAAUUCAAAUCUUCUUGCGAGAAAGACAACCCUAAAGAGGACUUUUUGGAACAACAAUCAAGGAGAAAAACAAGAGGAUAUGACCAACAAUUCCAUAGAGAACUAAACAUUUUAGUGAAGCUAGGAAGGAAUUCAAUCAGAUUCGGUGAUUUCAACAUUAUUUGAUUCAUAGAUUUAGAUUUUUACUUUAAACAAUUCUAUGGCUUAGAACUUUUUUCAUGAAAGUGUUUUGAGGUUGGUCAAACAUUUUAUUAAAUUCUUCAUAGAUUUAGUUACGCUUUCUUUAUUGAAUGAUUGAAAUACUCGUUUAAGUUUUAAUCUCAUUUAUUUAUUUUUACUAGUUGUUUCAUUACUGCUUUAUGCUUUUAGUAUAUGGUUGUUUUUUAAUCUUAUUCUAGUAAACAAAAGUACGAAUGCUGUGGCGUGAAGAGUUAAUAUUUAGAAUUACAAUUGAAUUAAAUUGAUUUUAAUGACAUUUCUUCUGAUUAGAGAAACUAUGUUGAACAUAUCUAAUUGAGUUACAAAAACGAAUCAUUGAUGUUGAAUGACCCAAUCCAAUUGAGGAAAUUCUGAUAUUUCACCAUUUCAAACCUUGUUUUGAUUUUCAUUCAAACAAAUAAAUUUUUUUCACAAAGAACAUUCACCUUUCGGAUCCUUUAAGUAUUUUUAAAGUCCCUCUCUAUCUAUGAAAUCGACACCCCAAAACUGUGGUACAACUAUCGCACUAUUCUUUGGGUGUGACCAACCCUAAUUGCAUUAAGCCUUGUUUGGGCUUCAUUUUUGUAAAAACAUAUUUUUCUCUUUUUUAGUUUUAAUCACACAUUCUUUAAUAAAAUAAUAUUACACGUAAAUCUAAAAAUUUUUCUUAAUUUUUAACAAUAUGUUCUCUAAAAUUUAUUAUUCCAAUAUAUAUAUAAUGAAGCCCUAAAUAAGAAUUGAAUUAGCGGUUCUUUCCUCUCCAAAGCAUCAAAGCAUUUCAACACACACUAUACAACCUAUAGAGAUGGGUGUGAAUGAAGUGAUGAACUUCAUUGUAGAAAAGUUGAAGGAAUUACUACUAGCAAUGGGAAAAAUUGGUGGCAAGGUGGUGGAUUAAUUUGACAAGGUGUUUCCACCAGAGACGAGGUGAUAUGAUUUAUGAACCCAUGGAGAUACUCUUGUAAUCUGAAGAAAUAGAUAAACAUUGUAUAUUCAAAGUUAUCUUGCUAUAAACGCUUUACUUUAGAAAAUUCUCUUUAUCAGUUCCUGAUUUAGCAUUUGAGUUGCAAGUUUGCUUUCAAUUAAAUUUAAAAAAAAAAAAAAGGUGUUUGCCUUCGAUCUUUCGUAAAAGUUUUAUAUUUUGUCCCUAAUAACAAAAACAUUAACAUUUUUUUUAAAAUUAAUAUGUGACAUUCAUGAAAAUAUGUAUCUUUUCAAAGUACUCAAUAUCAAGUCAAUUCAUAGAAAUGAACUUAUGAGCACUACAUGAUAUUUUGAUAUUUGAUUGGUUGUAACUAUAACAAAGGAUUUAGAAGCGACUAAUUGACAACCAACAUGCAGUUUUCUUAAACUUUCAAUACUAAACUUAUUGCCUCUUUUAAUUGACAAUUUAUGAUCUAUGUGUUCGGAAAUUUUAUGCCAAUUCCCUUUAUUUCUAUUUAUCCGAAAGAUCUUUUAUUGUUUAAGAGAAUAUUAGCAAACAGGAAAAAUAAAAAAUAUAACGUACAAAUUAAACGGACCAUCAAAACUUUUCACUAUAUAAAAAAUUGUUAAUAUAGAAUUUAACUCACCACCCCAAUCCCCAAGUAUUACAAAGAAAAAAAUAAACUCAAAUUUUACCACACCUACUUUUUUACUCAAUGUACAAAAGUAUCAAUAUGCUAGGUUCACAAUCUUUUUCUCUCAGAUCAACUCUCUGGCUAGACCCAAAAUAAUGAAAUACAUCUACUAUUUAUAAGAUCAAUAACCAAGUAAAAGAGUUUAAUUUAAACUCAAAUAAUACUCCUUUAACUCGACAAGGAUUCCUUCAUGUGCAAGAUUCCAAAAUUGGCUGUAAAUUGGAGACCAAAUUUUGCAAGGAUUCCGCUCUCAACUUUAAUUAGAAGUCUUCCAUACAAUAACUAUCCUUUAUUAUUUGCAAUAGAAGUCCUCUAACUUUUGACUUUUGAGGCAACUACCUAACAAUCUCCACCUUGCCAAAAACGAGUCAAAAUCUUGUCAUCUCUUCUACAACUUUUAAUCACAAUACUUGAAAAAAAAUAGGUAAGCCUUUGACACAUUUUAAUGGUCUUAUACUCCACUAUAUGAGUAUAACCACUCAGAACUUCAAGCAUUUCAUCGGCUAUAUGUCGAAACAACCUUGUUGAUAGUUAUGGUGCAACUUUCUCACUGAAUUUUCCAGAAAGCUCAUCAGCCAUUGACAUCACAAUACCACCACAUACCUACACAUCUUGCAUCAAAUGUAAGUCAAUGCUGUGUGCAGAUAUGUUAAUACGCGCCAGUGAGAACACAUCCUUUAUUAUGGCAACUGGCGACAUGCCAUAAUGAUGUUCCCAUCUUACUUUACGGCACCAUGUCCUCCUUCACCAGGAGAGACGCAUUCUCUGACCUGAAACAGUUCGCUGACCCUGCUCCACCUUUUUUACAAUUUCUCUUCACAUUGCCAGUCUGAUCGCAGUUCCAACAAGUUACUUUUUUCCUCAUGGAGUUGCCAAUCUUGCUAGAACUCUUCAUUGGGUUUCCUUUCAAAGCCGUGUGUAGCCCAGUUUGAAUCAAUAAAUCCCUAACUUGUACUUGCCACAAGCCAAAAUUGAUUUUCUAGUCAAAUUUCUCCACGUCAUAUUUCAACGAUGACAUAUUUUUCUUUUGCUCCAAUACUCCGAACCACCUGGUGCUCUGAUACCACUUGUUGGGAAAUUUUUCUGUAAUUCCCUUUAUUUCUAUUUAUCCGCAGGAUCUUUUGUUGUUCAAGUGAAUAUUAGCAAACAGGAAAUAUAAAAAAUAUAAUGCACAAAUUAAACGGACUGUCAAAACUUUUCACUAUUUGAAAAUUUGUUACAAUCAUAUAGAAUUUCACUCACCAACCUAAUUUUCAAAUAUUACAAAGAAAAAUAAAUAAACUCAAACUUAACUACACCUACUUUUCUACCAAAUGUAUGAAAAGUCUCAAGAUACUAAGCUCGCAAUAUUUUUCUCUCGGAUCAACUCUUCAGCCAUACCCAAAAUAAUGAAAUGUAUCCACGAUUUAUAGGAUCAAUAACCAAGUAGAAUAGUUUAAUUUAAACUCAAACAAGAAUCAUUUAACUUAACAAGGAUUCCUUCAUGUGCAAAGACUCCAAAAUUGGCUAUAAAUUGGAAACAAAAUUUUGCAUGGAUUUUGCUCUCAAAUUUAAUUAUAAGUUUUCCAAACAAUAACUACCUUUUAUUAUUUACAAUAGAAGUCCUCUAACUUUUAACUUUUGAGGUAAUUACCUAACACUAUGAAGACUUGACUUCCUCCAGUGCUCCCUUUGCCUUUAAGAAAUCUCAAAACACUGCUAAAAUGUGGCCUACAAAAAAUAAAUCAAUAGAUAAUAAUGACAACUGAAAUUCCCACGUUAGUCUACACACCAGGGGAAUGGAGAAGCAACAAUAUAGUAAUAAUAUCAAGAAGAUGAAAACGAUUUCAAAGGCUCGAAUACGGUAUCAUCGUCCUCAAAUUAUAUUUGCCCCCUCGUAGCAAAUGGUUCAAAGGAUUAAUCAAUUCUUGUAAAGAAUCAAACAUUUAAGCACAUGUGUGAUUCUCCAAAAUUCAAGAACACAAAGAGGAAAUCAAUGAAAAUGGAAGAAAAGGAUGUUUGAUCCUUUUGUGAAAUGAAGUAGAGUUUCUCAUAUGUUUUCAAUUUGAUUUCAAUGUCCAUCAAACACAUAUUUAUAGCCAUGGAUCAUAAAUAUACAAAGUAGUGCCAAAAAGAAGUGAAAAGCCGCCAAAAUUUCAAACCAAAAAUGCCUCAACGGCUAGUUGGUUCCUCUAUGUGGUCGCAUAGAGUAAACCUAUGCGACCGCAUAGAUUGUCCAAAAGCAAGGCUUUUACCACCAUGCGACCGCGCCUCUAAGAGGUCUACGUGAUCGCAUGGAUCCCAAUUUUGCCCUCCAUUUUUCUCUUUCAUUUCAUUCUUGUUUUUAUUGAUUUUCAAACAACAUUUUCCAUCGUGAGGGGAAAAUUAUACUAUCAACCUGCCUGUUUCAUUGCAUUAAUGGACAGAUUAUCACCUAAAUGGAAUUUUCUAAAAUUUAUUUCACUAUCACGCAAACUGAUGAUCAUUUAGACUUUAGAUGAAUAAUAUUAUUCUUAAUUGAAACUAUUUGGAAAGUAAAGGGAGUGCAAUAAUCCUUCAUAAAGAAUGUAUUUUUAUAUGAUUUAUAUAAAUUAUUGAUGAAUUAAGGGAUAUAAUAUCCACGUGAUUCUUGUUAAGUCUCUAUUUGGUCUAGAAUAAAAUCUCAAGUCAAAAUCAAUAAUUAAUUCUAAUCAUACAUUUUCUAAGACAUAAUUUUUAACCAAACAUUUCAUUAACUUUUUAUUAAAAUUGAUUAAAAAUCAAAAUUAAUCUAUACCAACACAAAAUGAGAUGCUGACCAACAAAAUUGGCCUUCAUAUGAUUUUAUUUACAAAAUCAUGUUAAUUUCUUUUGAGGUAUGGCAUUGACAACUUAAUAAGGCCAUGUUUGACGGUCCUUUUUUUUUUUUUUGUAAAGAAUGAAUUUUUGAUUAGUAAUUUUUUUUCCGAGAAUUUGUAGUUAAAAUUUAGGGAAUACUCUGCAAGAAUGUGUGGUUGAAAAUUAGUAUUAAAAAAAUGUUUUUAGAGAAUGAUUACCAAAUAAGGGCUAAAUAGACACAACACAUUAAAAUGUAAUUGAUUAAAAAUGAAAAAAAUUUAUCACUUGUACUUAUUUAUUUUUCAAUAAAAUUGUCGAAGAAAGUCGAAAUUGAAGAAUAGAAAAAUAUCCUCCAAAAUUGUGUUAAAAAACAUUCCACCCUUCUUGAUAUGAAUCAAGGCGCGUCAACAACCAAGACAACUCAAGCGUCAAGUCACGGGAAGGAUCCGUUGAUCGUCGAAGGUAGACCGAUGACGCGAUCAAGGAUGAAGCAAGUGAAAGAAGCGAUAAGAUUGCUCGUCAAGCGAGUCAAUGAAGACACAAUGUUCGGGGUGCAAAAUGGAGUAAGUUUGAUGUUGGAGUUGAGGGCCGAAAGAACUUGGAUCAACGUGAUAAAGACGGAAGAAAAUGAAGCCGAAGAUUGUUCCAUGUGACCGCAUGGUUAAACAACAUAUGCGGUCGCAUAGAUGGCCUCAAAGAUAAUAUUGGGGGCAAGGACAUGUUCUAUGCGACCACAUAGAUUAACACUAUGCUGCCGCAUAGAACAAAAACAUAAAAAAAAAUCGUUUUUUUUUAUUUUUUUUCGAAUUUUCUAGUUUCGAUAGAAUUCUUAUAAAAUCAAAUUAUUACCAUAAUUUGAUGGGUUUUGGACCUUUUUUACUCAUUAGUAUAAAUAGGAGAAUAUUUUUCAUUGUAAGGACUUUUGCUUGAAUAAUAUUAUAGAGAGAGAACUUGUUCUUUUUCAAUUUCUUGUUCUUCUUGAACAAUCUUGGAACUUAUCAAGAUUCAAUUUCUUGUGGCGUUCUAAACAAUCGGAUUGUGGGUUCUUUUAAUUGUAAUCAAGGGGUUUUAGGUUCUUCGCUAAUCUAGGAUUUCUUGAUUCAAUUCUUGAGGUUCAAGACCCAAAAUCGGGUUAAUAUUGGCGUUCUUGGGUUCCGCAUCAAUCUCGUUAUGGUUUUCGUAGUUUCCAUUGCUACGGGAUUCGCAUCAGUUGGUAUCAGAGCUUUGGCUCCAAUUUAAUCAGGUUAUAUCCUUUGUUUUCUAAUUUUUUUUUUCAAUUCCUUGUGUUCUUGUAUCCAGAAGGUUUUCUUGAUCCUUUGAUCCAAAAGUUUCAUCAAAAAUCUUCAAAUUCCAUUUCUGGGCUUAAUUUUCGCCCAAAUCAGUUUUCGUUUUCUUCAUUGGUUUUGUUAUUGAUUUUCGGAUCUGAAAAAAAAUAUUACUGUUCAUCCGUACAGUAAAAAAAAUUGUUAAAUAUUAUUGAUCCAUCAAAUACCAACUUUUAUUAGUCAAUGUCGUUUCUAAAUUACUUGGACACAUUGAAUCAUUCCAUUCCUUCAAUUCAAGUCAAGUUUUAAAAGUUUUCUUUGAAUCCUUUGUUACAAUUAUUGAGUCACAUCCGGUUUGGGGAAUUCUACAUGAUUUGAUUGAUUGAUUGAGUUCAUUGAUUGUUCCUAGAAGCAAUUGUUGAAACAACUGAGUGGUAAAAGGCAGAGAGGUGAGCUUAAUAGAGGGUAAAAGCCCUUGCGUGUUUUCGAGUGAUUUUUGGUGAGGCAAUAAAAUAAAAUUUUUAGUGUUAGGAUGUCAGAAAUGGCAGAAUCAAACUCAAGCCGACAAGGCAAUAAUAACAAUGCAUCGAAAGAUUUGGUGCAGAGGUUUGAGAGGGCGUUUGGAGAUGUGAGAGAUAGGUUGGAGAAGCAGGAGGCUUGGAUGAAUAGAUUAGAUACAUCGGUGGCUAAUCUUAGUCGGGGGCAUCGAGUGGAUGUAUCCAAUGCCAGAAGACCGGAUAGAUGGGAGCCUAGGAGGGAAAGNNNNNNNNNNNNNNNNNNNNNNNNNNNNNNNNNNNNNNNNNNNNNNNNNNNNNNNNNNNNNNNNNNNNNNNNNNNNNNNNNNNNNNNNNNNNNNNNNNNNNNNNNNNNNNNNNNNNNNNNNNNNNNNNNNNNNNNNNNNNNNNNNNNNNNNNNNNNNNNNNNNNNNNNNNNNNNNNNNNNNNNNNNNNNNNNNNNNNNNNNNNNNNNNNNNNNNNNNNNNNNNNNNNNNNNNNNNNNNNNNNNNNNNNNNNNNNNNNNNNNNNNNNNNNNNNNNNNNNNNNNNNNNNNNNNNNNNNNNNNNNNNNNNNNNNNNNNNNNNNNNNNNNNNNNNNNNNNNNNNGGAUCAAGUGAUUACUUCGCAACGUAGGAGUGGGGGAAGACCAAUCAGCACUUGGGAGGAAUUGAAGUCAUUGAUGAGAAAGAGGUUUGUUCCUAGCCACUAUUACCAAGAGAUCCAUCAAAAACUGCAAGGUCUAUAUCAAGGGUCGAAAAGUGUAGAAAAUUAUCGUAAAGAGAUGGAAAUACUCAUGAUUAGGGCCAAUGUGGUGGAGGAUCGGGAGGCUACCAUGGCACGAUUCUUGAAUGGGUUGAAUAGGAAAAUUGCCAAUNNNNNNNNNNNNNNNNNNNNNNNNNNNNNNNNNNNNNNNNNNNNNNNNNNNNNNNNNNNNNNNNNNNNNNNNNNNNNNNNNNNNNNNNNNNNNNNNNNNNNNNNNNNNNNNNNNNNNNNNNNNNNNNNNNNNNNNNNNNNNNNNNNNNNNNNNNNNNNNNNNNNNNNNNNNNNNNNNNNNAAUGGAGAGGUGGUGAGUGAAAGUGAAGGAGAGUUUGAGGACAUGCCUACAUUGGAGGAUGUUGAAGAAGAAGAAAAAUUGGAGUUUGUUGUUGGGGAAUCGUUGGUGUCAAGGAGAGCUCUUAACACUCAAGUCAAAGUGGAUGAUUCGGAGCAGCAGCGAGAAAAUAUAUUCCACACACGUUGUUACGUCAACAAUAAGCUAUGUAGUAUGAUUAUUGAUGGUGGGAGUUGCACGAAUGUAGCUAGCACAACUUUAGUUGAGAAAUUGGGACUAGCAUUGUUAAGACACCCUAGGCCUUAUAAGUUGCAAUGGUUGAAUGAAAGUGGGGAAGUUAGGGCGAAUAGAAGAGUUUUAAUUAAUUUCUGAAUUGGGAGUUAUAGUGACAAAGUAGUAUGUGAUGUGGUGCCUAUGCAUGUGGGUCAUAUCUUGUUAGGAAGACCAUGGCAAUAUGAUAAAAGGGUCACACAUGAUGGAUAUAGGAAUCGUUAUAGCUUUGUCAAGGAUGGGAAGACUAUUACUCUUGCACCAUUAACACCAGUACAAGUGUAUGGAGAUCACCAAAUCAAGCUGAAAAGUGAGGAAAAUGAGAGAAUAAGAGAGUCGGGAAAAAGGAGAGGCAAUAGUGAAACCAUCAAUAAGAGAGAAAAUAGUGAGGUGGUUGAGAGUGGAGAAAAGAUAGAGAAGCCACAUGAGCGGAGAGAAAAGGAGUCAGUUGAGAGGAGAGAAAAAGAGUCAGCUGAGCGGAGAGAAAAGCCAAAGGUCAACGUCUAUGCAAAAAAGAAUGAGUUAAAAAAGGCUAUGAGCAAUAAUAGGCAAAUAAUAUUGUUAGUGUACAAGGAGUCCCUCCUCAAUUUUGAGGAUUCUAACACAUCCCUCCCUAGUUUGGUUAAGUCUUUAUUGCAGGAGUUCGACGAUGUGUUUCUUGAGGAGAUGCCAAGUGGAUUGCCACCAAUCAUAGGCAUCGAGCACCAGAUUGACUUUGUACCCGGAGCUGUCAUACCGAGUCGACCAGCUUACAGAAGCAAUCCCGAGGAGACGAAAGAGUUUCAAAAGUAAGUGGAGGAGUUGAUGAGCAAAGGUUGUGUCAGAGAAAGCAUGAGUCCAUGUGCUGUACCUGUUUUGCUGGUGCCUAAGAAGGACGGGACUUGGAGAAUGUGCAUGGAUUGCCGAGCUAUCAACAAUAUCACGGUAAAGUAUCGUCACCCAAUACCUAGGCUAGAUGAUAUGCUUGAUGAGUUGCAUGGUGCUUGCAUUUUUAGUAAGAUUGAUCUUAAGAGUAGGUAUCAUCAAAUUCGCAUGCGGGAGGAUGAUGAAUGGAAAACGGCGUUUAAAACUAAGUAUAGAUUGUAUGAAUGGUUAGUUAUGCUGUUUGGACUCACUAAUGCACCGAGCACUUUUAUGCGUUUAAUGAACCAUGUUUUGCGUGCUUUUAUUGGGAAAUUUGUUGUAGUUUAUUUUGAUGACAUCUUAAUCUAUAGCAAAAACCUAGAUAAGCAUUUAGAACAUUUAAAUUGUGUGCUUGUUGUGUUGCGAAAGGAACAAUUGUAUACUAAUUUCAAAAAGUACACAUUUUGCAUGGAUAGAGUUAUUUUCCUAGGAUUUAUGGUUAGUGCUAACGGGGUGGAAGUCGAUGAAGAAAAGAUAAAAGCUAUAAAAGAAUGGCCAACACCUAAGACUAUAACUGAAGUUAGGAGUUUUCAUGGAUUGACUAAUUUUUAUAGGCGAUUUGUAAGAGAUUUUAGCACCAUCACCACACCGUUAACUGAAAUAGUAAAGAAGAGUNNNNNNNNNNNNNNNNNNNNNNNNNNNNNNNNNNNNNNNNNNNNNNNNNNNNNNNNNNNNNNNNCAUUUAACACAAUUAAGGAUAAGCUAUGUAAAGCACCUAUUUUGGCAUUACCAGAUUUUGAUAAAACAUUCGAGGUUAAGUGUGAUGCAUCAGGAAUAGGAAUAUGAGCAGUGUUAAUGCAGGAAAGGAGACCUAUUGCUUACUUUAGCGAAAAGUUGAGUGGGGCAGCAUUGAAUUAUCCGACAUAUGACAAGGAGCUGUAUUCACUUGUUCGAGUAUUGGAGACUUGGCAGCACUACUUAUGGCCAAAGAAAUUCGUGAUAAACAACAAUAAUGAAUCUUUAAAGCAUUUGCGAGGUCAAGGUAAGUUGAACAAAAGACAUGCGAGAUGGAUGGAGUUUAUCGAGAUAUUUUCCUAUGUCAUCAAGUACAAACAAGGUAACGAAAAUAUAGUUGCUGAUGCGUUGUCUCGAAGGUACGUGCUUUUAAAUUCAUUAAGUACUAAAUUACUUGGUUUCGAGCAUAUUAAGGGCAUGUAUGAAUCUGAUUGUGAUUUUUCUAGUAUUUAUUCUUCAUGUGACAAAGGUGCAUUUGAUAAAUUCUAUAGGCAUGAAGGAUAUUUAUUUAGGGAAGAUAAGUUGUGCAUUCCUAAUUGUUCUUUGCGUGAAUUAUUGGUAAGGAAAGCACAUGGGGGUGGUUUAAUGGGACAGUUCGAGGUUCAAAAGACUUUAGACAUAUUAGUGGAACAUUUUUAUUGGCCUAAAAUGCAACAUGACGUAGAACAAAUAUGUGAAAAGUGCAUAACUUGUAAAAAGGCUAAGUCUAAGGUUCAACCCCAUGGUUUGUAUAUUCUUUUGCCUGUACCUAGUGAACUUUGGGUAGACAUAUCUAUGAACUUUGUGUUAGGUUUGCCUAGGACAAAAAGGGGGUCGGGAUUCAAUAUUUGUAGUGGUCGAUAGGUUUAGUAAGAUGGCGCACUUCAUACCAUGUUAUAAAACUGACAAUGCUACCAAUAUUGCAGACUUAUUCUUUAGGAAAAUAGUAUGUUUACAUGGAGUACCUAAAAGUAUAGUGUCUGAUAGGGACAUGAGUUUUUGAGUCAUUUUUGGCGUGUUCUGUGGAGUAAGUUAGGAACUAAGUUAUUAUUUUCUACAACUUGUCACCUACAAACAGAUAGACAAACUGAGGUAGUUAAUCGAACUAUGACUCAACUACUUAGGAUAGUGAUCAAUAAAAAUCUGAAAUUAUGGGAAGAGUGUUUACCGAUUAUAGAGUUUGCAUAUAAUCGAGCUACACAUUCUACUACUUCAUUUUCUCAUUUUGAAAUUGUUUAUGAUUUUAAUCCACUAACACCUAUGGAUUUAAUGCCUUUGUCUGUGCAUGAACGAGGUAGCUUGGAUGGAAAACGAAAAGCCGAGAUGGUGAAAACACUCCAUGAAAAGGUCAGGAUGCAGAUCAAAGAGAAAGAAAAGCUGAUUGUAUCAAAAGCAAAUAAAGGAAGAAGAUGCAUUACAUUUGAGCUUGGAGAUUGGGUCUGGGUGCAUUUCAGAAAAGAGCGUUUUCCAGAACAGAGGAAGUCAAAAUUGCAACCACAAGACGAUGGACCGUUUCAAAUCAUCGAGAGGAUCAAUGACAAUGCAUACAAAGUGAAUUUACCUGGUGAGUAUAAUGUUUCAGCUACUUUUAAUGUCGCUGAUCUUUCUCUUUUUGAUGCAGGUUUGGAUUCGAGGACGAAUCCUUUCGAAGAGGGAGGGAUGAUAUGAAUCAAGGAGCAUCAACAACCAAGACAACUCAAGCGUCAAGUCACGGGAGGGAUCUGUUGAUCGUCGAAGGUGGACCGAUGACGCGAUCGAGCAUAAAGCAAGUGAAAGAAGCGAUGAGAUUGCUCGUCAAGCAAGUCAAUGAAGACACAAUGUUCGGGGCACAAAAUGGAGCAAGUUUCAUGUUGGAGUCGAGGGCCGAAAGGACUUGGAUCAACGUGAUAAAGACGGAAGAAAAUGAAGUCGAAGAUUGUUCCAUGCGACCGCAUGGUUAAACAACCUAUGCGGUCGCAUAGAUGGCCUCAGGGAUAAUAUUGGAGGCAGGGACUUGCUCUAUGCGACCGCAUAGAUUAACACUAUGUGGCCGCAUAGAACAAAAAUAUGAAAAAAAAAUUCUUUUUUUUUUUUCCGAAUUUCCUAGUUUCAAUAGAAUUCUUAUAAAAUCAAAUUAUUACCAUAAUUUGAAGGGUUUUGGACCUUUUUUACUCAUUAGUAUAAAUAGGAGAAUAUUUUUCAUUGUAAGGACUUUUGCUUGAAUAAUAUUAUAGAGAGAGAAUUUGUUCUUUUUCAAUUUCUUGUUCUUCUUGAACAAUCUUGGAACUUAUCAAGAUUCAAUUUCUUGUGGCAUUCUAAACAAUCGGAUUGUGGGUUCUUUUAAUUGUAAUCAAGGGGUUUUAGGUUUUUCGCUAAUCUAGGGUUUCUUAGUUCAAUUCUUGGGGUUCAAGAUCCAAAAUCGGAUUAAUAUUGGCGUUCUUGGGUUCCGCAUCAAUCUCAUUGUGGGUUUCGUAGUUUCGAUUGCUAUGGGGUUCGCAUCACUUCUUCUACACUGUCACCCUUGUACAGCGAUUGAAUUUUUUUAUUUUUUUGUAAUGUCUGACAAAGUUUAGAAUAUAAUUUCAAUUAAUUGGGUAAUUUAGCACAAAAUAUCCCCUAUCUUUCAAUAUUUUUUAUACAAAACGUCUUUACUUUUCAUUUUGUUGACAUUUUUACCAUUAUUUAUAUCUUUCAUUGUGGAGAUAAUCAUUUUUAUCCAUUUUCUCAAAUUAAAAGUUGUGAAAUGACGAAUAUAUCCUUCUAUUUAAAUAAAAUAAAAAUAAAUAAAAAAUUGCAACUAUACUUCUAUUUUUUUUAAAGAACAAAUAAAUCCCAAAUAAAUAAUUUAAAAUCAAAAUUUAAAAAAGAAAAACAAAAAAAAAAUCACUUUCUUUCCUAUCCAUGAAACCGCCACUUUCACUCGUCGAAAACACCAUCCAACUGCUACCUUAGCCAUCGGAUAUCACCACCCCCAUAGAGCUCUUAGUCCUUCCAUCACAACUCACCAACUUGCUCACCCAAACUCCCACCAAAUCUGAUUGCAAUUAGUGGUCAAAGCCUCCAACUCCCAAACACUAAACCUGGGGGCGACAUGACUUUCGAUGACUUUCACAAUCGUGACCUACCGCCAACAGGUUUCCCUCAUCAAGGCAACUUAAAACCAUGGUCAAACAUCAAAUCAAACAAACUCCAAUCAAUCAACGGCACCUUAAUUUUAUUUAUUUAUUUAUUAUUAUUAUUUUUUUUUUUUUUUUUUUUUUUUUAAUCCCCCUUAAAACCCAUUGCCUUGGUCAUUAGAGAGCUCUAAAGGAAUGGAGAUUGCGCAACUUGAGAACUUUAUUGACUCAAGCAUCAUAACUUAUGCCUAUCAUCUUGUAUUAUAUUUAUAAGAGCAUUUUCAAGAGAUUCUCUUAAUACAAAAUGUUUUUUAUUUUAAAAAACUAAUGCUUAAAAAUAAACUCCAAAUUUUUUUAAAUAGAGAGUGAUUUUAACUAUCCAAAUUUAGAUGGCCAAACCCACUCUCUAUUCUUAAUGUACAGUGAUUGUAUUUAAUAAAUUGCAUAUUUCAAUACUCUAUUUCUUAAACUAUUCAAAAUACAUUAUAAUUGAUUAGCCAUUGACGUAUAAAAAGUUAUGUUAAAUAAAUUAUGAGAAGAAAUUAAUAAAUAUUUUUUGAGAAAAUCAAAAUAAAGAUCCAAAAUAGAGAGUACUAUUGGAGUGCAUAAAUUUUUUUUUGACUCUCUAAAUUUGAAAAUGCUCCCUAUUAUGCAUAAAAUGCUCAUUAUAAAUAAAGAGUCCCUUGGGGAUAUUUUAAAUAGCUUCAUAGAUGUAAUUUCUUGUUUAGUGGCACUUCUCCCUACGAAAUUAAUCAAAACCUUUAACCUUGUACACAGCACAUCAGACAUGUCAUUAAAGAUAAUUACUCGUAAAUUAACAAACAUCAUUUCAUUACACAGAACUAAAAAUAUUAGUACAUAGAUUACACACACACACCAUUUCCGAAUUAAUUAAUACUACUAAAACACGCAAACUGCAAAUUAAACACGACAGUUGAAAUCUGUCCCUAUUACUAUGGCGACGGAUUUCAACGUACACUACUGUAGUAUUAAUAUCAGACCUCAGCCAUCGCCAUGAAGUUUGCGAAAAUAGCCAGCAGGGUCAUCCUCAAAUUUUUUUCUAGAAAUAUAUGUACCCUGUCUUCCUGGUGCUCUCAUCAUAUCCUCCUCCUCCUUCUUUGCCGGGCUGGCAAGAUUCCAUAAGCCACGCGCCACCAUCGCCACCCCUGCCACCACUCCGACCGCUGUUGCCACCGCACCUAUUAUAGAUGUUCCUCGAUCUUCCUCCGUCUUCGAGUUGGUGGAAUUAUUUGGUCGCCCAGAACCUCCAGAGUUUCCAUGGGAGCUCAUUUUUUUUUUUUUUUAGGUAUCUCUUUCUCUUACGUUCUCUACACAGGAGAAGAGGGGUUGAUAUAUUUAUAGGCAAGGAAAUUGGUUUACAUUUUAAGUUAAUAUCGAAGACACCCCUAAAGUAUUUUACUAUUAUUAGAAACACCCUCUAUCUAUUAAAACAUCAAAUAAAUCUCCUCUAGAGUUUGUUUUCUAUAAGAUUAAUCCUCCC